GAAAUUAUUUUCUAGGGUUCCGCAAGUAGUUUUUUUGCUUGGACUGGUCCGAGAGAAAAUGCACGUGAUUCGUGUACACGGAGGGACAAAAGCCCGGGAGGA
RNAcentral lists this small RNA (102 nucleotides) under Virgibacillus salexigens. RNAcentral's name for it is "ykkC-yxkD". It matches the Rfam family "Guanidine-I riboswitch aptamer". From Rfam's summary of the family: This family represents a conserved RNA structure found upstream of the ykkC and yxkD genes in Bacillus subtilis and related genes in other bacteria. The function of this family is unclear although it has been suggested that it may function to switch on efflux pumps and detoxification systems in response to harmful environmental molecules. Lineage: Bacteria; Bacillati; Bacillota; Bacilli; Caryophanales; Bacillaceae. The record is from RNAcentral.